RNAcentral lists this ribosomal RNA (403 nucleotides) under uncultured Eubacteriales bacterium. RNAcentral's name for it is "bacterial SSU rRNA". It matches the Rfam family "Bacterial small subunit ribosomal RNA", at positions 379 to 774 of the family's 1533-position model. The record is from RNAcentral. Lineage: Bacteria; Bacillati; Bacillota; Clostridia; Eubacteriales.
AAGUCUGAUGGAGCAACGCCGCGUGAGUGAUGAAGGUUUUCGGAUCGUAAAACUCUGUUGUAAGGGAAGAACCAGUACGUCAGGCAAUGGACGUACCUUGACGGUACCAGAGGAGGAAGCCACGGCUAACUACGUGCCAGCAGCCGCGGUAAUACGUAGGUGGCGAGCGUUGUCCGGAUUUACUGGGCGUAAAGGGUGCGUAGGCGGAUAUUUAAGUCAGAUGUGAAAACCCCGGGCUUAACUUGGGGACUGCAUUUGAAACUGGAUAUCUAGAGUGCAGGAGAGGAAAGCGGAAUUCCUAGUGUAGCGGUGAAAUGCGUAGAGAUUAGGAAGAACACCAGUGGCGAAGGCGGCUUUCUGGACUGUAACUGACGCUGAGGCACGAAAGCGUGGGUAGCAAACA